CCUACGGGAGGCAGCAGUGGGGAAUAUUGCACAAUGGGCGAAAGCCUGAUGCAGCAACGCCGCGUGAGUGAUGAAGGCCUUCGGGUUGUAAAGCUCUGUCUUUUGGGACGAUAAUGACGGUACCAAAGGAGGAAGCCACGGCUAACUACGUGCCAGCAGCCGCGGUAAUACGUAGGUGGCAAGCGUUGUCCGGAUUUACUGGGCGUAAAGGAUGCGUAGGUGGAUAUUUAAGUGGGAUGUGAAAUACCCGAGCUCAACUUGGGUGCUGCAUUCCAAACUGGAUAUCUAGAGUGCAGGAGAGGUAAGUGGAAUUCCUAGUGUAGCGGUGAAAUGCGUAGAGAUUAGGAAGAACACCAGUGGCGAAGGCGACUUACUGGACUGUAACUGACACUGAGGCAUGAAAGCGUGGGGAGCAAACAGGAUUAGAUACCCUGGUAGUCCACGCCGUAAACGAUGGGUACUAGGUGUAGGAGGGUCCAACCUUCUUGCCGCCG
Molecule: ribosomal RNA, 494 nt
Filed under: uncultured bacterium
Lineage: Bacteria
Description: bacterial SSU rRNA
Rfam family: Bacterial small subunit ribosomal RNA
Source: RNAcentral